Molecule: RNA transcript, 1635 nt
Organism: Zea mays
Lineage: Eukaryota; Viridiplantae; Streptophyta; Magnoliopsida; Poales; Poaceae
Exons: 2
Source: RefSeq, marked validated
UGCGUCCUGCUGCCUCUCCGUGCGGCGGCUCUCGGUCUCGGCGACUCGGCCUCUCAGAUCCCUCUCCCUCCGGCGUCCUGCUCCCUCCUCUCGGCGCGGCGCUCCCUGCUCCUCCUCCCGGUGCUCCCUGCUCGGCUGCUCCCUCCUCUAGAUGCUCCCUGGCUCCCUGCUCGGUGCUCCCUCCUCCCGACGCUCCUUUCGGCGUCCUGCAACAGCGACGACGCAGGGCGUGUGGGGCAGCAGCAGGAGCAUGCAUUGAUGACGGCGCAUCCGAGUGUCCAGAUGCCUGUGUCUCUAAGCAUUACAGUUCUCGUUGUUUAAUCUAGUUUCUGCUAAUGGGCGAUACACGUUUCCGAGUGUCCAGAUGCCUGUGUCUCUAAGCAUUACAUACGACGUCGAUCUAUUCUACAUCCAGCUUGCCCUGUCAAGGACCUACGAUUCCCUCACCGACGAAUUCAGCUACGCGCUGCUUCUAAUCACGAUCGCAGCCCUGGUUGCUGCCAUCAUCGUCACAUGGAUUUGGUCCGAGAAGGAGUUGGGGGACAAGUGGAGGUGAACGAGGUCUCAAAGUUGUGACGUGGAAGAAAAUUUGGGGCCCCAGUCAGCUAGCUCUCUUGUUCUAGGGUUUUUGUUUUACGGUUUUUGUGCUGUCGUUUUAGGUUUUUUUUUUGCUAAAUAUAGUUUUGUGUUUUUGCGGGCUCGGGCCGGCACGGGCUACUAAAUGGGCCGUGCUAUUCGGGCCGGCCCGGCACGGUCGGGCCUAUACCGUGCCGUGCUCGGGAAGAGGUAUGGGCCCGUCGGGCGGCACGGCACGGCCCGGUUAAGUGGUCGGGCCUAACCGUGCCGGGCUUAAACGGGCCGGGCCGAGUCGGGCUCGGGUUGGGCCGGGCCGGGCCGCCCGUUUGGACAUCUAUAUUUAGCACCAUACCAAACACAUUUUUUUCUAGGUUUUCGCGUUUGCAUGCUGCAACAAGCAGAAGAAGAGGACUACCGUCUACGUAUAAACUAGACCGAGUUCCUUUUCUGCUUACAUCAAGCAGCAGGCAAUAAUUGGUGUGCUCCGUGCAAUCAAGCGAUGCGACGUCGGCAUACACAACCAAUCAUCGCCGGCAAGUCCGAGUUUGAUUUUGGCCUCGGAUUCCACUCACUACUCGGAUGGGUUGUUUAUGUGGCCGUUCAGAUGGUGAAGUAUCAUCAAGCAGUGGUGCACUAGUACGAGCAGCAGCAGCAGCGUCGUGAGGUCACAACUCACAACUCAUGACGAAGGGGAUCAAGCGACCAGACACAAGUCACUGUUUAUUAAUGCGUCAUUUGGAGCAGCGAUGAGACGCUUAGUGAUCUUGUCAUUGAACAGGCUGGAUAUAUAAAUGGACACACAUGUGAGUGUGUGUGCCUUUGUAAGCAUGUCGAUGUAAUCUUUUUUGUGUUUUUCUCUUGGCCUGUUGGCCUAGUUGUCUUUAAAAAAAAACUGAGCUGACAGAGGAUGUCUGCAGGGCCAUUGCAAUAAGUGAUAAUUCAGUGGGAGACGGUGUGUUGGCAGCAAUGUAAUGAUUUCUAGUUAGUACUAACAUGAGGAAUGAUGUCAUCUCACCAAAUUUGAGAAAUAGACUCACAUCUUAGAUGAAGUGAUUUCUC